AGUGAACGCUGGCGGCGUGCUUAACACAUGCAAGUCGAACGAGAACGGGUUAUAGCUUGCUAUAAUUGUCAGCUAAGUGGCGCACGGGUGAGUAAUAUAUAGGUAAUAUGCCUCUUACUAAGGGAUAACAAAUGGAAACGUUUGCUAAUACCUUAUACUCCUUAUUAACAGAAGUUAAUAAGGGAAAGAUUUAUUGGUAAGAGAUUAGCCUGUAUUGUAUCAGUUAGUUGGUGAGGUAAUGGCUUACCAAGACUAUGACACAUAACUGGUUUGAGAGGAUGAUCAGUCACACUGGAACUGAGACACGGUCCAGACUCCUACGGGAGGCAGCAGUGGGGAAUAUUGUACAAUGGACGAAAGUCUGAUGCAGCAACGCCGCGUGGAGGAUGACACAUUUCGGUGCGUAAACUCCUUUUAUAUGAGAAGAUAAUGACGGUAUUAUAUGAAUAAGCACCGGCUAACUCCGUGCCAGCCGCCGCCGUAA
Molecule: ribosomal RNA, 484 nt
Filed under: uncultured bacterium
Lineage: Bacteria
Description: partial 16S ribosomal RNA
Rfam family: Bacterial small subunit ribosomal RNA
Source: RNAcentral